RNAcentral lists this long non-coding RNA (2187 nucleotides) under Mus musculus (house mouse). Its description in RNAcentral is "long non-coding RNA chrX:20398664-20400851". Lineage: Eukaryota; Metazoa; Chordata; Mammalia; Rodentia; Muridae. The record is from RNAcentral.
GUCUACAGAGUGAGUUCCAGGACAGCCAGGGCUAUACAGAGAAACCCUGUCUCGAAAAACAAAACAAAACAAAAGAACACCAAUGAGCAACAGAUUUGACAGAGGUGAUCAGUGUCUGUGACUAGCUAUUGUGACUAGCAAGAGACCUAGAGCAAAUCUUAUAAGUAAGGAAUCUUUUAAGUAAGGAACACUUAGGUAUGAUGAUAAUCUAGACAGGUUAUUCAAAAUCUCCAUCCAUUUUUUUUUUUUGCUCAUGUCAACUAGUGUUAAAGUAUGAUAAAAGUUUUGGUUACUUGAAAUCAUUAUUUCUCAAUUCUAUUUGAUAAUAGUAACUUCCAGGAGGAGGAAUGGGAAUUGUUCAGAAAUACACAUUGAUGGAUCCAGUCUAAAGGUGCACAGAUUCAGUUUUCAAGGGAAACUGAAAUAGGGUGUAUUGUUAUCUAAACUAAUCAGUUCUGAAAGUGCUGAUAGGGCGAUUUUAUCAUAUUUGGCAGGGAGCAAGAACAGCUUUCAUAGGCUCAUUUAUAGGACUCAAAAUGGAAACUUUUAUUUUUAUAAAACUGAGAUUGAAAAUGGCCACUUGUAAAAAUUCCUUCCAUGGUUGUUACCAAAAGUGUAUUUUCCUGUUUAAAGUGGUUUUGGAAACUUUCAGGCCAACUUAUAACUAUCAUGUUGAAUUGUAAAUGUGUAGAAAUAAUGCUUUUUUAUUUUGAAUUAAUAAUAUUGAGUACCUACACUGUGCCUAGCCUACCAUCAGCAUUUCAACAUUUCUUUUAUUAUAAGAGCAUCAUGUUCUACAGAGUCAAUAUGAUCUCAUAAGGUGCAAAUAAAAACUGCUGGCAGGGCAGGUAUAAUAAUUUCUAUCAUAGUUUACAAAUGGUCUUUGCAAAUAGUGAUCAGAGGCAUUAACGUUUCCCUGAGCUAAGCUAAAUUAAAUGCAUUCUUUUCUGCCUUGAUUAUAUUACUAAUUUUCUUUACCCACAUUUGAAAUAAUCUCAAUACUUGCUAUUUCAAAACUAAAAUGCAAUGUUAUAGGGGGUAUACAUUGAGUUUUUAAUCGUAUCAAUAAUGGUGUGUAAAAACUCAAGAAUAUUAUAUAAAGGAGACAUUAAUUUAAGAUUUUCCCACCAAAUUUAGUAUGUUAACCAAAACCUAAAACUUUAUAUCCAUUUAGAUGGGAACUUUUUACAAGUACUUUUAUGUUGUUUCUGCAAGUCUAGACUUCAAUAGUAAUCAUGAUAUACUAACUAUAUUUUAUUUCUGAAUAGUUUUUUAAAUUCAUGAAAAAUUAAUAGCCAUGAAAACUGAUUUUAUUGUCAUAUUUGUUUAAGCAUCUUAUUAGUUUACUUCUCUUGCAUUAAUAGUACUGCUAUAUUUUGGGUCUGUAUAUUUAUAUGUGGCAUUUAUAAAAUUAUCUAGUGUUUUAAAAAUACUUUGAAAUAAAUAUUAAAAUUAAAAUGGUUCAAUGCUACUUUUUUGAAGAGUACUCUAUAUUUACUCAUACUUGUACCAAAAUUUGAUAAAAUUUUUAUUUUCUUUUGGGUGUUUUGUUAUACAACUUUUAAUUUUAAAAACAAAAUAAAGUGGUCUAAUCUCUGUUUUAUACUAAUGAGAAAUGAACUGUUAAACUGCGUGUGUAUGUAUUUGAUGUAUAUAUGUGCAUGUGUAUAUACACAAGGUACUCUAAAGAAAUGAAAAGGAAGAAACAUAUUUUGAUAUAAGGAAUUUACAUCAUGUUUUCUUUGCUAAAAUAAGUCACAUUUUGUUAUGGGUGAAUAUUUGCUAAGAUUAGGCAUCUUUCCUUCCAUAUUUUAAAAAUAUGCUGGGUAUAGCAUAUACAAUUGUAAUUCUAGUACUCAGGAAUUCAAGGCCAGCCUAGGUUAUAUAUUGAAUUCCAGGCCAGUCUGGGCUAUAUAGCAAGAGCCUGCCUCAAAAAAUAAAGAAGUGUGAUAAAUUUUCAUUCAGGCUUAUAAAAGUAGAUGGUAUUUUUUAUUGUCAAGUUUACCAGUCUUUGUCCUCCUUUCCUAUCUCACAAAACAAAUACUGAAAGUGCAAAUUGGUUUGUUUGUAAAAAGAUAACAUUAUGUUUAUUUCUACUUAUAAAGGUUCAACAAGUACAUUAAGAACAUUUGGAGCAUUGAGAACAAGCAGAAAUGAUAACACAAUAAUAAAAUUGCUUCCUGUUGG